This 146-nucleotide microRNA precursor is filed under the name Gossypium hirsutum (cotton). RNAcentral describes it as "MIR7502 microRNA precursor family". It matches the Rfam family "MIR7502 microRNA precursor family". Lineage: Eukaryota; Viridiplantae; Streptophyta; Magnoliopsida; Malvales; Malvaceae. The record is from Rfam by way of RNAcentral.
UGUUAAAAUUUUUAUAUAUUUAUAUUAUUAAAAAUUGGUGUAACUAAUGGAAUUACUAACCAAUGACAUAUGGCGUGCUACGAGUACCUCAUACUAAAAUGCAUGAAUCAUUUUUUAACCAUAGAAAUAGAUAAAAUUUUCUAACG